This 784-nucleotide ribosomal RNA is filed under the name Amanita fritillaria. RNAcentral describes it as "partial large subunit ribosomal RNA". It matches the Rfam family "Eukaryotic large subunit ribosomal RNA", at positions 94 to 865 of the family's 3401-position model. Lineage: Eukaryota; Fungi; Basidiomycota; Agaricomycetes; Agaricales; Amanitaceae. The record is from RNAcentral.
UGAAGAGGGAAAAGCUCAAAUUUAAAAUCUGGCAGCAUUUUGUUGUCCGAGUUGUAACCUAGAGAAGUGUAACCUGUGCUGGACCGUGUAUAAGUUUCCUGGAAUGGAGCAUCACAGAGGGUGAGAAUCCCGUCUUUGACAUGGACUACCAGUGCAUUGUGGUUGUGCUCUCAACGAGUCGAGUUGUUUGGGAAUGCAGCUCUAAAUGGGUGGUAAAUUCCAUCUAAAGCUAAAUAUUGGCGAGAGACCGAUAGCGAACAAGUACCGUGAGGGAAAGAUGAAAAGAACUUUGGAAAGAGAGUUAAACAGUAUGUGAAAUUGUUGAAAGGGAAACGUUUGAAGUCAGUCGCGUUAGCUGGGGAUCAGCCUGACAUUGUUGGGUGCACUUCCUGGUUGACGGGCCAACAUCAGUUUUGACUGCCAGAAAAAGGCCAAGGGAAUGUGGCACCUUUGGGUGUGUUAUAGCCUUUGGUCAUAUAUGGUGGUUGGGACUGAGGAAUGCAGUGUGCCGAAAGGCCGGGUUUCGACCACGUUCACACUGAGGAUGUUGGCAUAAUGGCUUUAAGCGACCCGUCUUGAAACACGGACCAAGGAGUCUAACAUGCAUGCGAGUGUUUGGGUGGAAAACCCUUACGCGUAAUGAAAGUGAAAGUUGAGAUCCCUGUCAUGGGGAGCAUCGACGCCCGGACCAGAACUUUUGGGACGGAUCUGCGGUAGAGCACGUAUGUUGGGACCCGAAAGAUGGUGAACUAUGCCUGAAUAGGGUGAAGCCAGAGGAAACUCU